UUAUAUAAUAAAUUAAGAUUUCAUUUUUCCUACAUUUUAAGAUCCAUUGUUGCUAUAUUUUAAGUAAAUAAUUAUAUGACAUUUUAUCCAUUUCCGACUGAACAUUUGUUUACUAUUAAAUGAACUUUAAAAGGUACUUAAACAAAAUAUUAUACCAAUAUUUAUAACUACUGAUCAUCCAAACAUGUGAAAGAAAGUGAAUGCAAACCUUGAAAAAACAAUAAUGCAGAUGUAUUAAUUCAAAAGUUCUAAUCUAAUCCGAUUCAAAUAAAAGAGAAGAACAUGACAAGUAAGAUGUCCAUCAAAGAUUGUAUAUAUGGAUGAUAGCAAGUAUGUUGACUAUCUCAGUGUUAUUAAGUGUGUUUAGUGAACUUGAUCUAAGCAAUAUCCUUUGAUCAUCUAAGUGGACAAGUGUUUAUGGACAAGUGUUAAUGGACAAGUAUUUAUGACCGAAUCUAAGUGGAUGAUCUGAAAGUGUUUAGAGAACCUUAAAUAUAUUAUGGUAUUGCUGGUUGUGAUUGUUUCCCAAGCCUGCAACAAGUUUUGAUGAUUUUCAAUUAGCCGACAAUACAUAUGGUCUUCACAAAGCAUAUACAGUUAUCCAAACCUACUUUCAUUUGUGUUUAUUCAAUCUGGUGGUUCUUUAAGUCAUCCAUUUGUUCGAAUCCAGUAGACUAGUACAUGGACAAUAUGAACAUAUUGAAACAAACAAUUGUUCACAGUGUCAUAGAUGAUAUAGUUAUUAAUGAAUCAAAUCAGAUCAAAACUCUUGAAUUAAUAAAUCUGCAUUUUUGUUUUUUCAAACUUUGCAUUCACCUUCUCUCACCUGUUCUACUACAAGAAAUAUGGGCGUUCUUAACACACAGAAAACACUAUAAUAUUGUUUACAUAGCGGAUUCAUAAACGCUGUGUUUGCCGGAGCUUUCUUAGGUCGGUCACAUACAAUAGCGUUUUCUUCCUAUGCUAUGUUAUGUAAACAUAUCAUAGCGUAAAUUAUGUGAUAUGAUUCUCAUUUUUGCAGUUCAAUUUUAAUGUUGUAUUAUAUUGUGUUGUAGCAUUUUAUAUUUGUUGUAUUCUAUUAUACUUAUAGCUCUUGUUUAUUGUUCUACUACAUGUUUAGGUGCUAUCUUAUUUCAUAUACAUUUAACCCAAUUUUACAUAAAUAUUUAGUUGAAUUUAUUAAAAAUAUUAUAUUAGAUAAAUUAUACAAAACAUACAUACCAAGUCUUAUACUAACCCUAAACAUAUGUUACUUUCUAUUUUAAAAUAAAAAAGGAAAAUAACAACCGAGUUUCUUAUUUUAGACAACCGAAUAUAUGUUAAGUUCCCAAAACAAUUAAAUGUCAAAUCAUAUAUGGAACUCAUUCAAAUAUGUUUUAUAGAAA
This 1385-nucleotide small RNA is filed under the name Arabidopsis thaliana (thale cress). RNAcentral describes it as "ATSL084250". Lineage: Eukaryota; Viridiplantae; Streptophyta; Magnoliopsida; Brassicales; Brassicaceae. The record is from RNAcentral.